UUCAUUUUCAAGGAGCUAAAAGAGCUAGGGGCAAGCCUAAAAUAACCACAGACGAAAUGGUGAGGAAUGGCAAGCUUCGUCUCGGCCUUGUUCCAAGUAUGACCUUGGAUAGGAGUUUAUUGGAGGUCUAGGAUUCAUGCUCCCGACCCCAUUUAGCAGUGAUUCUCCCGCCUUGUUGGGCUGGCCUCUUUCCUCUUACUCUCACCGAUAUACUCUCAUCUUUUCGAUUCCCCCCUCCCCCCCUCCCCCCGUCCCUAUUCUCUGUUUGGCCCCAUUUUUUCUCUAUUGUGUUUUGUUUGGAUCCAUAUAACUAACCUCAUUAAGUUGGGAUAAGGCUGAGUUUGUUGUUGUUGAUGUGGAACAAUGAGGGAUAAAAUGAAUUGCAUGCACAUGCUACAGCUGGCUUCUGCAGUACCAUUAAUUGAGUUAUAUAGAUUCAUUCUAUAUAGAUAUGCCAUCGAUGGGGUCCAACCUUGAAUAAAUUUUUUGGGGCAAGUGUUCAUCCAAAGUUUGUACUUUAUGCUUUAAACAUUAGAGAACCAUUGGACUUAUCCCUGAAUCUCCCACUUGAGUGGAAUCUCAUUUUCUUUUUUAUAUUAACAAUUUAGUUUCCAACACAAAUGAUUGGAAAAAGCAAGAGAGAACUAUUGUAUGGUAAUUCAGUUUUUUCAUUUAGUGACUUCAGUGUACAGGUUUCUACUUUCUACAAGAAAAAAUAAAAAUAAAAAUAAUAAUAAUAAUAUUAAUAUUAAUAAAAGAGACUCAAUGUAGUUCAAUUAUUGGGCUCUCUCUUUUGGCCUUGUGAAUUUUCGUUACUUUGAGUCUUUGAGUUUAUUAAUUUUUGUUCAUCAAGUGGUAUUUUGACUUUGUUUGCCGGCUUACUUUCUUACUUGUGUAUCCAAUUUGAAGAUUUAUGGAACAGAUUCUCUUUAUAAUGGUGAGAAUGGUUGAUAAAUAGGUUUUGGCAUCCUAUUGAGCAGGUCAGGAAGCUUUUGGAGAGGCAAUCAAUCAAGUGGACAGAAGAAGGGAAUGGAGAGAUAAUAUCGAUCAAAGUGGAUGAAAUUGAUCCAAAAAGUCUUAGUUUUGCGAAAAAAGCGCAGUAAAUGGAGUGCAGGUGAUUGCAAGGUGAUUGAUUCAAGAAUCUAAAGAACUUAUCCUUGGGACAUGUUUGGGAUUUUGAAGUCGACUGGAAGCUUUGGUUGGUAUAUAGCUGGGUAGUCUUCCUCUGCUCCUUCACUGCAACCAUAGAAAACUGAUAGCUCAACACCAAUUUUUUGAUGUUCUCACCAUUUCUUGCCUUUUGGAUCGUCUCAAAAUUGAAAGCGAAUUUUUCUAUCUGUGACAGUUAAAAUCUUCAAUGGAGAUAUUUGAAAUUCGGUUGUUUUCUGAGACUGCACCUUAGUGCGUAACAGUUUUUAAUACAUACACCAAGCGAAAAAGAAAAUCUAAGAAAUACAAUCGUUUUUUGCUUCA
This is a long non-coding RNA of Macadamia integrifolia, 1473 nucleotides long. RefSeq lists it as uncharacterized. Lineage: Eukaryota; Viridiplantae; Streptophyta; Magnoliopsida; Proteales; Proteaceae. The transcript has 2 exons. The record is from RefSeq and is a predicted model, not a curated record.